This 1082-nucleotide ribosomal RNA is filed under the name uncultured Rhizaria. Its description in RNAcentral is "SSU rRNA". It matches the Rfam family "Eukaryotic small subunit ribosomal RNA", at positions 577 to 1674 of the family's 1831-position model. The record is from RNAcentral.
CGGUAAUUCCAGCUCCAAUAGCGUAUACUAAAGUUGUUGCAGUUAAAAAGCUCGUAGUUGGAUUUCUGCGGGGACGGAGCGGCCGGACGCAACUUGCGUCUCGAGCUAGCGCUUUCCCCACAUCCUGCCGCGAACCGUGCUACCAUUAGCUUGGUGGCGCUGGGGAUCGGCUCGAUUACUUUGAGAAAAAUAGAGUGUUCAAAGCAGGCCACACGCCUUGAAUAAGUUAGCAUGGAAUAAUGAUUAAGGACUUCGGUUCUAUUUUGUUGGUGUUCGGGACUGAAGUAAUGAUUGAUAGGGACAGUUGGGGCGGUCUGUAUUCCAAAGCGAGAGGUGAAAUUCUUAGACCUUCGGAAGACAAACAGCUGCGAAAGCGUUCCGCAAGGAUGUUCCCUUUGAUCAAGAACGAAAGUUGGGGGAUCGAAGACGAUCAGAUACCGUCGUAGUCUCAACUAUAAACUAUACCAGCUAGGGAUCGGCCAACGUUUAACUUUAUCGACUUGGUCGGCACCUUAUGAGAAAUCAAAGCAUCUGGGUUCCGGGGGGAGUAUGGUCGCAAGGCUGAAACUUAAAGGAAUUGACGGAAGGGCACCACCAGGCGUGGAGCCUGUGGCUUAAUUUGACUCAACACGGGAAAACUUACCAGGUCCAGACAUAGGAAGGAUUGACAGAUUGAUAGCUCUUUCUUGAUUCUGUGGGUGGUGGUGCAUGGCCGUUUUUAGUCGGUGAAGUGAUUUGUCUGCUUAAUUGCGUUAACGGACGAGACCCCAGCCUGCUAAAUAGCGCGGCCGAGCUUUGCUCGGUGCGAGCUUCUUAGAGGGACCAUGAUGCGCGAUAGCACAAGGAAGUUUGGGGCAACAACAGGUCUGUGAUGCCCUUAGAUGUUCUGGGCCGCACACGGGCUACACUGGUGCCUGCAACGAGCAUAUCAGCUGGCCCGAGAGGGUCUUGGCUAAUCUUUGGAACCGGCGCCGUGCUUGGGAUUGACCAUUGCAAUUGUUGGUCAUGCAACGAGGAAUGCCUUGUAAACGCGAGUCAUCAGCUCGCAUUGAAUACGUCCCUGCUCCUUGUACACACCGCCC